This 254-nucleotide ribosomal RNA is filed under the name Burkholderia cepacia. RNAcentral's name for it is "partial 16S ribosomal RNA". It matches the Rfam family "Bacterial small subunit ribosomal RNA", at positions 1110 to 1371 of the family's 1533-position model. Lineage: Bacteria; Pseudomonadati; Pseudomonadota; Betaproteobacteria; Burkholderiales; Burkholderiaceae. The record is from RNAcentral.
UUUAGUUGCUACGNGAGAGCACUCUAAGGAGACUGCCGGUGACAAACCGGAGGAAGGUGGGGAUGACGUCAAGUCCUCAUGGCCCUUAUGGGUAGGGCUUCACACGUCAUACAAUGGUCGGUACAAAGGGUUGCCAACCCGCGAGGUGGAGCUAAUCCCAUAAAACCGAUCGUAGUCCGGAUUGCAGUCUGCAACUCGAGUGCAUGAAGUUGGAAUCGCUAGUAAUCGCUAUCAGCAUGUCNCGGUAAUACGUC